CUAGGCGGUCAUAGCGGCGGGGAUACACCUCUUCCCAUUCCGAACAGAGAAGUUAAGCCCGCCAGCGCCGAUGGUACUCGGGGCGCAAGCCCCCGGGAGAGUAGGACGCCGCCUAGU
This 117-nucleotide ribosomal RNA is filed under the name Actinomycetota bacterium. The record is from RNAcentral. Lineage: Bacteria; Bacillati; Actinomycetota.